CGCAAGACCAAAGAGGGGGACCUUCGGGCCUCUUGCCAUGGAUGUGCCCAGAUGGGAUUAGCUUGUUGGUGGGGUAACGGCUCACCAAGGCGACGAUCCCUAGCUGGUCUGAGAGGAUGACCAGCCACACUGGAACUGAGACACGGUCCAGACUCCUACGGGAGGCAGCAUG
Molecule: ribosomal RNA, 172 nt
Filed under: uncultured bacterium
Lineage: Bacteria
Description: partial 16S ribosomal RNA
Rfam family: Bacterial small subunit ribosomal RNA
Source: RNAcentral